AUCGCCGAUCCAGCGGCGCUACGAGCAGCAGUAGGACGCAGGACACGAACCCUUGUUUCCUUCUCCAAUCCCUGAUUCUCCCCAUCGUCCUUCCCUUUCUCCUGGAUCCUUCCUUCGCUCCGCCAAUUCCAGAAAUUGUUGUCAGGAAGGCAAAUGAUUGCUCAUGUGGUCAACCGGGAGGAUCAGUAGCGAGAAGUGGAGAUGAUCACCCGAGCGAAGCUGGUGGAACAGCUGAGGGAGCAACAGAUCCGGUCGGCGCAGACCUACUCCGCGGCCCUCGCCGUCUUUUCGCCCAACCCCCACAUCUCCUCCAGGCGGGAUCUAAAGGUUGCUCUCCUAUAUGCUUUCUUGUUCUGUUUUCUCAUGGUGUCGUGCUAUAUGGCCCUUUACCUGAAAUGGUUCAGACUUUCAUCCCUCUUUGUACUUUUCGGUAUCCUUCUGCAAGUAAGUCUCAAAAUCUCUAGGCAUAGAAGGCUGAAAAGGAAAAGGGAAAGAAAGUUGUUGUUACCCUUGUCCAUGUGAAUAUCUUUCUGAUAUCGUGUAACAUUUAAGUAAAAUGGAUGAACCACAAAGAGGAAAAAUCUUGGUUGGAUCGGCUUACACCCUCAAAAAUGUAUAUUUUGCUUUUAUGCAUUCACAUACAUAUGCACCA
Molecule: long non-coding RNA, 652 nt
Organism: Brachypodium distachyon (stiff brome)
Lineage: Eukaryota; Viridiplantae; Streptophyta; Magnoliopsida; Poales; Poaceae
Exons: 2
Source: RefSeq, a predicted model, not a curated record